GAUGAACGCUAGCUACAGGCUUAACACAUGCAAGUCGUGGGGCAGCGGAUGCUUAGCUUGCUAAGUAUGCCGGCGACCGGCGCACGGGUGAGUAACGCGUACCGAACCUGCCCAUCACACAGGGAUAGGCUUGCGAAAGCAAGAUUAAUACCUGAUGGUCUCAGUUGUAUGCAUGUAUGAUUGAGUAAAGCCUUCGGGCGGUGAUGGAUGGCGAUGCGUCCCAUUAGGAAGUUGGCGGGGUAACGGCCCACCAAUCCUUCGAUGGGUAGGGGUUCUGAGAGGAAGGUCCCCCACAUUGGAACUGAGAUACGGUCCAAACUCCUACGGGAGGCAGCAGUGAGGAAUAUUGGUCAAUGGGCGAGAGCCUGAACCAGCCAAGUAGCGUGCGGGAUGAAGGCCCUUGUGGUCGUAAACCGCUUUUAUCAGUGAAUAAAGUGCACCACGUGUGGUGUCAUUGCAGGUAGCUGAAGAAAAAGGACCGGCUAAUUCCGUGCCAGCAGCCGCGGUAAUACGGAAGGUCCGGGCGUUAUCCGGAAUUAUUGGGUUUAAAGGGAGCGCAGGCGGGAGUAUAAGUCAGCUGUUAAAUAUCAGGGCCCAACUCUGUUAUGCAGUUGAAACUAUAUUUCUUGAGUACGCACAGGGAUGGCGGAAUUCAGGGUGUAGCGGUGAAAUGCUUAGAUAUCCUGACGAACUCCGAUCGCGAAGGCAGCCAUCCGGAGCGUAACUGACGCUGAGGCUCGAAGGUGCGGGUAUCGAACAGGAUUAGAUACCCUGGUAGUCCGCACGGUAAACGAUGAAUACUCGCAGUUCGGCCGUUUAGGUCGAGUUGUCCAGCGAAAGCGUUAAGUAUUCCACCUGGGGAGUACGCCGGCAACGGUGAAACUCAAAGGAAUUGACAGGGGCCCGCACAAGCGGAGGAACAUGUGGUUUAAUUCGAUGAUACGCGAGGAACCUUACCGGGCUGAACCAGAGUGCGGAGUGCAGAGAUG
RNAcentral lists this ribosomal RNA (989 nucleotides) under Alloprevotella tannerae. RNAcentral's name for it is "bacterial SSU rRNA". It matches the Rfam family "Bacterial small subunit ribosomal RNA", at positions 28 to 1008 of the family's 1533-position model. Lineage: Bacteria; Pseudomonadati; Bacteroidota; Bacteroidia; Bacteroidales; Prevotellaceae. The record is from RNAcentral.